Molecule: non-coding RNA, 140 nt
Organism: Hordeum vulgare subsp. vulgare (domesticated barley)
Lineage: Eukaryota; Viridiplantae; Streptophyta; Magnoliopsida; Poales; Poaceae
Source: Rfam
GAGAUACUCCCUCCGUCCCUAAAUUCUUGUUUUAGUUUUGUUUAGAAAUGGAUGUAUCUAAAUACUAAAUCAUGACUAGAUGCAUUCAUAUCUAGACAGACAAAUCUAAGACAAGAAUUUUGGGACGGAGGGAGUAUAAA